This 1709-nucleotide ribosomal RNA is filed under the name Paramoebidium sp. UT-1-W14. Its description in RNAcentral is "eukaryotic LSU rRNA". It matches the Rfam family "Eukaryotic large subunit ribosomal RNA", at positions 114 to 1437 of the family's 3401-position model. Lineage: Eukaryota; Ichthyosporea; Ichthyophonida; Amoebidiaceae. The record is from RNAcentral.
UUUCCAAGCGGCAUGGAGGAUAACCGCCAUGUCGCGUUGUAGACUAAAGGGGUGUCAUCUUGCGUGGGCCAGGGAUAAAUCCGUUGGAAGACGGUAUCAUAGAGGGUGAGAAUCCCGUCUUUGACCUGGUAAGAUAUCCAUGCAUUUACGUUACGCUUCCAAAGAGUCGGGUUGUUUGGGAAUGCAGCCCAAAGCGGGUGGUAAAUUUCAUCUAAGGCUAAAUAUGGGCACGAGACCGAUAGCGAACAAGUACCAUGAGGGAAAGAUGAAAAGAACUUUGAAAAGAGAGUUAAAAAGUACGUGAAACCGUUAAAGGGGAAACGAAUGGAGCUAGCAUAUGUGGAGAAGAUAACCUAAUCAGUCAGCACGUGUGUGUGGGGGGAUUGCGCCUAGGGUUCUAUAUUGAUUUCUGGGGAGGGUUUACUUUUUCUAGAGGUGAGUAGGACGAGGCGGAGUUUCUUUCUGAAAGAGCAUAGACCUUGCUGGUGCACUUAGGUUAGCCACAGGCCAACAUCAGUUUUUCAACUGGGUCACAAGCGGCAGGGGAAGGUAGUUCCGGUGCUUCUGUGGCGGAAUGUUAUAACCCUUGAAACAACCGAAAUGACCCGGGGAAGACUGAGCAGAAGCAGCGCGCAAAACCAUCGGAGAGCAACCGCUGAGGAUGCAGGUGCGGAAGGACUGAGGGCAUAUAUCCAGAGGCAACGAUGGAGUGUGGCAGCAGUAGUCUGUGCCGAUAAUUUGACGACUUCUGUGCGUGCAUGGGAGGAGUUUUAGAUGAGCAACCUUACACGGGGCGUACCCAGACAACGUGCUUGUGAUGUUGGGGAAAAAUGGCUUCAUCCGACCCGUCUUGAAACACGGACCAAGGAGUCUAACAUAUACGCAAGUCUUUGGGUAGAAAGCCCGCAGGCGAAAUGAAAGUGAAGGUAUGCAUGGUAUGCUGAGGUGAGACGUUGUGAGGUAGGCAAAAUAAUUUUUUUUUGUUUUUACUGACAUGACAGCAUCAUCGACCGAUCAGGAAGGAAAUUAACCUGAAAGAUUUGAGUAAGAGCGUAUCUGUUGGGACCCGAAAGAUGGUGAACUAUGCCUGAACAGGGUGAAGUCUGAGGAAACUCAGAUGGAAGCUCGUAGCGAUUCUGACGUGCAAAUCGAUCGUCUGAUUUGGGUAUAGGGGCGAAAGACUAAUCGAACCAUCUAGUAGCUGGUUCCCUCCGAAGUUUCCCUCAGGAUAGCUGGAACUAAGAAACGACGCAGUUUUAUCAGGUAAAGCGAAUGAUUAGAGGCCUUGGGGUUGAAAUAACCUCAACCUAUUCUCAAACUUUAAAUAGGUAAGAAGGCUGGCUUGCUUAAGUGAAGCCAGCCAAGCAGAAUGCAAGUUCCAAGUGGGCCAUUUUUGGUAAGCAGAACUGGCGAUGCGGGAUGAACCGAAAGCAAAGUUAAAGUGCCAAAGUUCACGCUCACCUAGAACCCAGAAAAGGUGUUGGCUGAUGAAGACAGCAGGACGGUGGCUAUGGAAGUUGGAACCCGCUAAGGAGUGUGUAACAACUCACCUGCCGAAUCAGCCAGCCCUGAAAAUGGAUGGCGCUCAAGCGUGACACUCAUACUUUGCCGUUGCCUUUUUUUUAUAUAUAGAAAGAAUAUAAAGCAACGAGUAGGAGGGCGUGGAGGUUUGUGAAGCAGCUUAGGGCGUAAGCCUGAGUGAAACAGCC